CCGCCGGCGACCGGCGCACGGGUGAGUAACACGUAUGCAACCUGGCCGUGACAGAUGGAUAACCGGGAGAAAUCCCGCCUAAUACAGCAUGACGCCGGGAAGGGACAUCCCUUUCCGGCCAAAGGGGGCGACUCCGGUCACGGAUGGGCAUGCGGCGCAUUAGGUAGUUGGUGGGCAACGGCCCACCAAGCCGACGAUGCGUAGGGGUUCUGAGAGGAAGGUCCCCCACAUUGGAACUGAGACACGGUCCAAACUCCUACGGAAGGCAGCAG
RNAcentral lists this ribosomal RNA (272 nucleotides) under uncultured bacterium. Its description in RNAcentral is "partial 16S ribosomal RNA". It matches the Rfam family "Bacterial small subunit ribosomal RNA", at positions 85 to 354 of the family's 1533-position model. The record is from RNAcentral.